Molecule: RNA transcript, 1235 nt
Organism: Zea mays
Lineage: Eukaryota; Viridiplantae; Streptophyta; Magnoliopsida; Poales; Poaceae
Gene name: ubiquitin carboxyl-terminal hydrolase 27
Exons: 4
Source: RefSeq, a predicted model, not a curated record
CUCUAUCUUGUUUUCAUUUUUUAGUAUUGCAUUAGAUGUGCAGUCAUCAUAAGAACUAAUUUUCCUUAUAGGAUGCUUCAGAAGCUUUUCUCCAUCUUCUGAUCUCAUUGAGGGAUGAAUUUGCCCAUUGUUAUGUACCACAUAGGAGUUCUCUGGCAGACAUCACCCUUUCUGACUCCAAAGUAUACAAGCAAAGGGAAGGUAACCUGCCUGAAUGCAAGCGGUGGAAACAAAACCUAUUUGGCCCCUUUGAUGGGACAGUUGGCAGCAUAUUGUCUUGCAGAAACUGUUCUUCUGUGCUGUCAUUGGACUUCGAGAAUUUCCACUGCUUGCCUCUUUUGCCAGUCCUUAAUGCAAAUGGAGAUAUUACCAGUGGGUGUAGCUUGGUGGAUUGCCUAAAGUACUUCACUGUGGUGGAGCAUCUUGACAACUAUCGUUGUGACCGGUGUUGGCACAUCAUUGCUGCCAAAUAUCUUUCUCUUAGAUCAGAAGUUGAUGAGGAAAAGGUUAGCAAAGCUUCAAUCCUGUUUUGACUAUGGCACUUGCAGUUGCAGGGAUAUGUUCCCCCUGGAGUCACUGCCAUGUUCAUCAUCUUCACGAGCAACAAAGCAGCUGAUUAUCAGUCAGUGCCCGAAGGUAUCCAAAAUUUAAGUACUCGUUGAGACUCACAUCAACUGUCAUAAAAUUAAGUAACACCUCAGUUGUUUCUCAUCCAAAUACCAGUGGAGACAAAGAUGUGACUUCGGAUAACAAAUCUCAGCAUGGAUCUUCAGAAUUACCUCCUAGAGCUGAAUUUAUUGGCAACAAACAAAUGACAGUAGAAAGGUACAAGGCGCAUCCUGGACAUGUUAAUUACAUCCUAGGAAGAACAGAAAGGAUAUGUGAUUGUUGAAGGAGCGCAUCUAAGCCUUAACUUUGUGGUACAUAUUAGCCAAGUAAUGGUGCAGGAGUAUUUCAUAAAAUUGUAGGGCGCCCGCAAGGGCGCCUUAUGUUCUAGUAUCUUGAAAAAAUGCAUCGUGUAGGCGUUCUGCCGGCCGCCGGCUAGGGUUACGGGUUACCUGCACGAGGUCCGUCGCGUCUCGGUGGUGUCCGUGCGAGGAGAAGCCGAGGGGGCGAGGGGGUGUACCUGAGUGGGCCGGCAUGGCAAUGAGGAAGUUUAGAGGACAGGCCCAAACAUCGUUUGGGCUACAAUGACUCAACGAGCAAACCUGGUAAAAUUCAUGACUGGACCUUUA